RNAcentral lists this ribosomal RNA (774 nucleotides) under uncultured Neocallimastigales. Its description in RNAcentral is "partial large subunit ribosomal RNA". It matches the Rfam family "Eukaryotic large subunit ribosomal RNA", at positions 22 to 637 of the family's 3401-position model. The record is from RNAcentral. Lineage: Eukaryota; Fungi; Neocallimastigomycota; Neocallimastigomycetes; Neocallimastigales.
GUACACGCUGUGACUAGCAUAUCAAUAAGCGGAGGAAAAGAAACUAACAAGGAUUCCCCUAGUAACGGCGAGUGAAGCGGGAAGAGCUCAAAUUUGAAAUCUUAAAGGGUUUCCCUUUACGAAUUGUAGUUUAAAGAAGUGUUUUCUGUUGAGGUUUUGGUAAAAGUUCUUUGGAAUAGGACAUCAUAGAGGGUGAGAAUCCCGUAUUUGCCCUUUACUUUCAACUUUGUGAUACACUUUCAAAGAGUCGGAUUGUUUGGGAAUGCAGUCCAAAAUGGGUGGUAAAUUUCAUCUAAAGCUAAAUAUUGGCGAGAGACCGAUAGCGAACAAGUACCGUGAGGGAAAGAUGAAAAGAACUUUGAAAAGAGAGUUAAACAGUACGUGAAAUUGUCAAAAGGGAAGCGUUUGACACCAGUGUUGUUUUUCUGAAAAUCAAUUAAAGAACUGUUUAUGCUAAGUUGUUUAGACUUUAUCAGCUAACUGUUUAGUUUUGAGCUUUUCUUUAAUGCACUUUUCAGUUAACAAGUCAACAUCAAUUUCUUUUGCUGUAAAAAAGCUUGAGGAAGGUGGCUUGAGAUUCGUCUUAAGUGUUUAUAGCCUCUUGCCUAUGCAGUCGGAGAGAUUGAGGUCUGCAGCGUAGAUCCUUCGGGGCUAAAUGCAUUUGUGCUAAGUUAUAGCAUUUUAUAGACAACUUGUUGACUAUGAUUUGUCUUGUAGCUUACUCGCUUAUGUUAUUUUACCUACGCUUAGGAUGUUGACAGCAGUAUAGACUGU